RNAcentral lists this ribosomal RNA (367 nucleotides) under uncultured fungus. RNAcentral describes it as "eukaryotic LSU rRNA". The stretch from base 1 to 72 matches the Rfam family "5.8S ribosomal RNA", at positions 84 to 154 of the family's 154-position model. Lineage: Eukaryota; Fungi. The record is from RNAcentral.
GUGAAUCAUCGAAUCUUUGAACGCACCUUGCGCGUCCUGGGUAUUCCCAGGAGCAUGCCUGUUUGAGUGUCAUGAAUCCCUCAAAUCCCAAUGUUUUGCAAAAUUCGUUGCUUGGAUUUGGUCAUGGGCCGACUUUGCUACUUUAUUGUUAGCUGGCCUUAAAGACAUUAGCUUGGACUUUCGAACCUUUUCAGAAGGGUCUCCAUAUGAUGUGAUAAAUUUACGUCGAUGGGCUAAUGACUCUACUGUUGUCAAUGGUUUUGAAAAUGAAUAGUCUAGCUUUCUAACCCGGCGAAGAGUUCCAUCUCUGACCCACUUUUCAUUUAACUCUGGCCUCAAAUCAGGUAAGACUACCCGCUGAACUUAA